GUGUGUGCAAAAAUGUUAUAACAUUGGCUUUAAUGUACAUAAACUCUGUUAUCAUAGUUAUAGAGUUAUGUAUUCUCGUGUAUUGUAUAAUUCUUUUGACGUUUUUGGGCUCUAUGAUUUCUGGUCAAGGGAGGUUGGUGAAAACACAUAAUUCAGAAUGUUCUCACGAACCUUGCUUUUUUUUUUUUUUGGUAAAUGUAAUAGACAAC
Molecule: long non-coding RNA, 209 nt
Filed under: Mytilus galloprovincialis (Mediterranean mussel)
Lineage: Eukaryota; Metazoa; Mollusca; Bivalvia; Mytilida; Mytilidae
Source: RNAcentral